RNAcentral lists this ribosomal RNA (557 nucleotides) under Choerodon jordani (Jordan's tuskfish). Its description in RNAcentral is "partial 16S ribosomal RNA". It matches the Rfam family "Bacterial large subunit ribosomal RNA", at positions 1889 to 2605 of the family's 2925-position model. The record is from RNAcentral. Lineage: Eukaryota; Metazoa; Chordata; Actinopteri; Labriformes; Labridae.
GGUCCCGCCUGGCCCUGUGACUAAAUGUUUAACGGCCGCGGUAUUUUGACCGUGCGAAGGUAGCGCAAUCACUUGUCUUUUAAAUGGAGACCUGUAUGAAUGGCAUAACGAGGGCUUAGCUGUCUCCUCUCUCAAGUCAAUGAAACUGAUCCCCCCGUGCAGAAGCGGGGAUCCCCCCAUAAGACGAGAAGACCCUAUGGAGCUUUAGACAUAAAGUAGAUCACGUUAAGAACCCUCCCUUAAGAGCCAAAACAAAAUGAUCCCUACCGAAAUGUCUUUGGUUGGGGCGACCGCGGAGAAAAACAAAUCCUCCAUGUGGACCGGGGCCAAGAGCCCUAUAACCAAGAGCCACCGCUCUAGGUAUUAGAAACUUUUUAACCUACCAGAUCCGGCCAGGCCGAUCAACGAACCGAGUUACCCUAGGGAUAACAGCGCAAUCCCCUUCCAGAGCCCAUAUCGCCAAGGGGGUUUACGACCUCGAUGUUGGAUCAGGACAUCCUAAUGGUGCAGCCGCUAUUAAGGGUUCGUUUGUUCAACGAUUAAAGUCCUACGUGAUC